UACGUACUAGUUAUUAGUAAGGGUACGAAGUACGUACUACGUNACNNAAACGAUGGACCUGCGUUGGAUUAGCUAGAUGGUGAGGUAACGGCCCACCAUGGCGACGAUCGGUAGCCGGACUGAGAGGUUGAUCGGCCACAUUGGGACUGAGACACGGCCCAGACUCCUACGGGAGGCAGCAGUGGGGAAGUAUUGCACAAUGGGCGAAAGCCUGAUGCAGCGACGCCGCGUGAGGGAUGACGGCCUUCGGGUUGUAAACCUCUUUCAGCAGGGAAGAAGCGAAAGUGACGGUACCUGCAGAAGAAGCACCGGCUAACUACGUGCCAGCAGCCGCGGUAAUACGUAGGGUGCGAGCGUUGUCCGGAAUUAUUGGGCGUAAAGAGCUUGUAGGCGGUUUGUCGCGUCUGCUGUGAAAAUCCGGGGCUCAACCCCGGACUUGCAGUGGGUACGGGCAGACUAGAGUGUGGUAGGGGAGACUGGAAUUCCUGGUGUAGCGGUGAAAUGCCGCAGAUAUCAG
This 517-nucleotide ribosomal RNA is filed under the name uncultured bacterium. RNAcentral describes it as "bacterial SSU rRNA". It matches the Rfam family "Bacterial small subunit ribosomal RNA", at positions 173 to 700 of the family's 1533-position model. The record is from RNAcentral.